UUCGUAGGCGGUGUGGCAAGUCGGGAGUGAAAUCUCUGGGCUUAACCCAGAGGCUGCUUCCGAAACUGCCGUGCUAGAGUGCGGGAGAGGCGAGUGGAAUUGCAGGUGUAGCGGUGAAAUGCGUAGAUAUCUGCAGGAACACCCGUGGCGAAGGCGGCUCGCUGGACCGCAACUGACGCUGAGGAACGAAAGCUAGGGGAGCAAACAGGAUUAGAUACCCUGGUAGUCCUAGCCCUAAACCAUCAGGACUUGGGGUGCAUCCCGUUCGGGGUGCGUCCCGUAGCUAACGCGUUAAGUCCUGCGCCUGGGGAGUACGGUCGCAAGGCUGAA
This 330-nucleotide ribosomal RNA is filed under the name uncultured bacterium. Its description in RNAcentral is "bacterial SSU rRNA". It matches the Rfam family "Bacterial small subunit ribosomal RNA", at positions 568 to 898 of the family's 1533-position model. The record is from RNAcentral.